Molecule: ribosomal RNA, 568 nt
Filed under: fungal endophyte sp. MS13
Lineage: Eukaryota; Fungi
Description: eukaryotic LSU rRNA
Rfam family: 5.8S ribosomal RNA (bases 233-386)
Source: RNAcentral
CUUUGGAAGGUAAAAGUCGUAACAAAGGUCUCCGUUGUGAACCAGCGGAGGGGAUCAUUGCUGGAACGCGCCCCAGGCGCACCCAGAAACCCUUUGUGAACUUAUACCUUACUGUUGCCUCGGCGCUAGCCGGUCCUUCGGGGCCCCUCUUCCGGAGGAGCAGGCACGCCGGCGGCCAAGUUAACUCUUGUUUUUACACUGAAACUCUGAGAAAAAAACAUAAAUGAAUCAAAACUUUCAACAACGGAUCUCUUGGUUCUGGCAUCGAUGAAGAACGCAGCGAAAUGCGAUAAGUAAUGUGAAUUGCAGAAUUCAGUGAAUCAUCGAAUCUUUGAACGCACAUUGCGCCCUCUGGUAUUCCGGAGGGCAUGCCUGUUCGAGCGUCAUUUCAACCCUCAAGCCUGGCUUGGUGAUGGGGCACUGCCUGUAAAAGGGCAGGCCCUGAAAUUCAGUGGCGAGCUCGCCAGGACCCCGAGCGCAGUAGUUAAACCCUCGCUCUGGAAGGCCCUGGCGGUGCCCUGCCGUUAAACCCCCAACUUUGAAAAUUUGACCUCGAUCAGGUAGAAUC